AUGGCGACGGCUCACCUCAGCCCGGCGCUCGCGGUCUCAUCGUCGCGCCACCUAACCUCCAAACACGGCCAGCCGCCCAUCUUCGCGCAGCCAGGCGGCACAGCGGUGCUGCGGUCUUGCUCGCUUCCCUUGUCCUCGAGACUUGCCGCGUCGGGUCGAGGUGGGUGGCGGCUCGCGGCGGCAGUGGAGCCCAGGACCGCGCAGCAGGAAAAGGCCGAUGCCUCCUCGAGGCUGGUCCUCGUCGUCGGCGGAACCGGCGGCGUAGGUCAAUUGCUGGUAGCAUCUUUGCUGAGCAGGAAAAUUAAGACAAGGCUGCUCCUAAGAAACCCUGAAAAGGCAGCGUUCUUAUUUGGCAAGCAGGAUGAGAGUGUUUUGCAGGUUUGUGAAGCGGACACGAGAAAUGUUGACAGUUUGAAUCCAGAAAUGUUUGAGGGAGUUACACAUGUGGUAUGUACUACUGGGACUACAGCAUUUCCAUCAAAACGCUGGGAUGGGGAUAACACUCCUGAACGUGUCGAUUGGGAUGGCGUCCGAAAUUUUGUGAGUGCCAUGCCACAGACGGUCAAGAGACUGGUUUUGGUGUCAUCGAUUGGUGUUACAAAAUAUAAUGAAAUACCAUGGAGUAUUAUGAACCUCUUUGGUGUGCUUAAAUACAAGAAGAUGGCAGAGGACUUUGUCCGCAAUUCAGGCAUACCUUUCACGAUCAUCAGGCCGGGGAGAUUAACAGAUGGGCCCUACACUUCCUAUGACCUGAACACACUUGUUAAGGCUACAGCUGGAGAAAGACGAGCAGUUGAGAUAGGCCAAGGUGACAAGCUUGUGGGAGAAGCGAGCAGAUUGGUGGUGGCAGAAGCAUGUAUCCAAGCUUUGGAUAUUGAAUCUACCCAAGGAAAAAUAUACGAGAUUAGUUCGGUGAAGGGCGAAGGACCUGGGAGCGACCAGGAGAAAUGGAAGCAACUAUUUGCAGCUGCUGAAUCGAACUAG
This 984-nucleotide ribosomal RNA is filed under the name Triticum aestivum (bread wheat). RNAcentral's name for it is "partial small subunit ribosomal RNA". Lineage: Eukaryota; Viridiplantae; Streptophyta; Magnoliopsida; Poales; Poaceae. The record is from RNAcentral.